UCUAUUCCGAUCAACUCGUUCUUCUCCUCCUUUUCUCCGUUUCUAUUCCUCUCCGUUUUUCUAUUCUCUCUCGAUCUCUCUUCCUCUCUCAAUCUUUCAACCUUAAUUUUCUCUCUGUGUGUAUGCGUAUGUGUGGAUUUCGGUCAGCUGUGUGGUCUUUGACGACGGUGCGUGUAUAUUUCCCGUCGCCCGCGGAUGUGUACGUAUGUACUGUAAAUGGAGAGUGGGGUGUGAAUUAUAUGUGUAUUUGUGUGUAAAGGAGUCCAUCG
This 269-nucleotide long non-coding RNA is filed under the name Capsicum annuum. RNAcentral describes it as "long non-coding RNA (CANN_LNC017688)". Lineage: Eukaryota; Viridiplantae; Streptophyta; Magnoliopsida; Solanales; Solanaceae. The record is from RNAcentral.